RNAcentral lists this ribosomal RNA (1528 nucleotides) under hydrothermal vent metagenome. RNAcentral describes it as "bacterial SSU rRNA". It matches the Rfam family "Bacterial small subunit ribosomal RNA". The record is from RNAcentral.
UUUACAAUGGAGAGUUUGAUCCUGGCUCAGGAUGAACGCUAGCGGGAGGCUUAACACAUGCAAGUCGAGGGGCAUCCCUGCCUUCGGGCAGGGGCGACCGGCGGACGGGUGCGUAACGCGUAUGCAACCUACCUUAUGCAGGGGGAUAGCCCAUGGAAACGUGGAUUAAUACCCCAUAGCACUGCGGGCCCGCAUGGGCCCCGCAGUUAAAGCCCUGGCGGCAUAAGACGGGCAUGCGUCUGAUUAGUUUGAUGGUGCGGUAACGGCGCACCAUGGCAACGAUCAGUAGGGGUCCUGAGAGGGUUACCCCCCACACUGGUACUGAGACACGGACCAGACUCCUACGGGAGGCAGCAGUGAGGAAUAUUGGGCAAUGGAGGCAACUCUGACCCAGCCAUCCCGCGUGCAGGAUGACAGCCCUAUGGGUCGUAAACUGCUUUUCUGCGCGAAGAACCCCCCCGAUGUAUCGGGGGCUGACGGUAGCGCAGGAAUAAGCACCGGCUAACUCCGUGCCAGCAGCCGCGGUAAUACGGAGGGUGCAAGCGUUAUCCGGAUUUAUUGGGUUUAAAGGGUGCGCAGGCGGCGAUGUAAGUCAGUGGUGAAAGGCUGCCGCUUAACGGUAGGACUGCCAUUGAUACUGCAUUGCUUGAGUAUGGUUGAGGUAAGCGGAAUGUGUGGUGUAGCGGUGAAAUGCAUAGAUAUCACACAGAACACCGAUUGCGAAGGCAGCUUACUAAGCCAUUACUGACGCUGAGGCACGAAAGCGUGGGUAGCGAACAGGAUUAGAUACCCUGGUAGUCCACGCCGUAAACGAUGUUCACUCGCUGUUUGCGAUAUACAGUAAGCGGCUGAGCGAAAGCAUUAAGUGAACCACCUGGGGAGUACGCCCGCAAGGGUGAAACUCAAAGGAAUUGACGGGGGCCCGCACAAGCGGUGGAACAUGUGGUUUAAUUCGAUGAUACGCGAGGAACCUUACCUGGGCUUAAAUGCAGGGUGCAUGGCGUGGAAACAUGCCUUUCCUCCGGGACCCCCUGCAAGGUGCUGCAUGGUUGUCGUCAGCUCGUGCCGUGAGGUGUCGGGUUAAGUCCCAUAACGAGCGCAACCCUUACCGUUAGUUGCCAUCGGGUCAAGCCGGGGACUCUAGCGGGACUGCCACCGUAAGGUGAGAGGAAGGUGGGGAUGACGUCAAAUCAGCACGGCCCUUAUGCCCAGGGCUACACACGUGUUACAAUGGCCGGUACAAAGGGCAGCUACUGCGCGAGCAGGUGCCAAUCCCAAAAGCCGGUCCCAGUUCGGAUCGGAGUCUGCAACCCGACUCCGUGAAGUUGGAAUCGCUAGUAAUCGGAUAUCAGCAACGAUCCGGUGAAUACGUUCCCGGGCCUUGUACACACCGCCCGUCAAACCAUGGAAGCUGGGGGUACCUGAAGUCUGUAACCGCAAGGAGCGGCCUAAGGUAAAUCUAGUGACUAGGGUUAAGUCGUAACAAGGUAGCCGUACCGGAAGGUGUGGCUGGAACACCUCCUUUCUG